RNAcentral lists this ribosomal RNA (433 nucleotides) under uncultured bacterium. RNAcentral's name for it is "partial 16S ribosomal RNA". It matches the Rfam family "Bacterial small subunit ribosomal RNA", at positions 29 to 507 of the family's 1533-position model. The record is from RNAcentral.
AACGAACGCUGGCGGCAUGCCUAACACAUGCAAGUCGAACGAGACCUUCGGGUCUAGUGGCGCACGGGUGCGUAACGCGUGGGAACCUGCCCUUAGGUUCGGAAUAACUCCCCGAAAGGGGUGCUAAUACCGGAUAAUGUCUUCGGACCAAAGAUUUAUCGCCUUUGGAUGGGCCCGCGUUGGAUUAGCUAGUUGGUAGGGUAAAAGCCUACCAAGGCGACGUUCCAUAGCUGGUCUGAGAGGAUGAUCAGCCACGCUGGGACUGAGACACGGCCCAGACUCCUACGGGAGGCAGCAGUGGGGAAUAUUGGAGACUGGGCGAAGGCCUGAUCAAGCAAUACCGCGUGAGUGAUGAAGGCCUUAGGGUUGUAAAGCUCUUUUACCCGGGAUGAUAAUGACAGUACCGGGAGAAUAAGCUCCGGCUAACUCCGUG